Molecule: non-coding RNA, 97 nt
Organism: Astrocystis sublimbata
Lineage: Eukaryota; Fungi; Ascomycota; Sordariomycetes; Xylariales; Xylariaceae
Source: the annotation of a GenBank genome assembly
GCCCUGGUAGCUCAAUUGGUUAGAGCGUCGGACUUUUAUAAGAGAAAUCUUACAAUUGGCCAUCCGAAGGCUGCGGGUUCGACCCCCGCCUGGGGCG